This 578-nucleotide ribosomal RNA is filed under the name uncultured bacterium. Its description in RNAcentral is "bacterial SSU rRNA". It matches the Rfam family "Bacterial small subunit ribosomal RNA", at positions 75 to 677 of the family's 1533-position model. The record is from RNAcentral.
CUAGCUUGCUAAUAAUUCUCUAGUGGCGCACGGGUGAGUAACACGUGAGUAACCUGCCCCCAAGAGUGGGAUAGCCCCGGGAAACUGGGAUUAAUACCGCAUAAAAUCGCAAGAUUAAAGCAGCAAUGCGCUUGGGGAUGGGCUCGCGUCCUAUUAGUUAGUUGGUGAGGUAACGGCUCACCAAGGCGAUGACGGGUAGCCGGUCUGAGAGGAUGUCCGGCCACACUGGAACUGAGACACGGUCCAGACACCUACGGGUGGCAGCAGUCGAGAAUCAUUCACAAUGGGGGAAACCCUGAUGGUGCCACCCCGCGUGGGGGAAUGAAGGUCUUCAGAUUGUAAACCCCUGUCAUGUGGGAGCAAAUUAAAAAGAUAGUACCACAAGAGGAAGAGACGGCUAACUCUGUGCCAGCAGCCGCGGUAAUACAGAGGUCUCAAGCGUUGUUCGGAAUCACUGGGCGUAAAGCGUGCGUAGGCGGUUUCGUAAGUCGUGUGUGAAAGGCGGGGGCUCAACCCCCGGACUGCACAUGAUACUGCGAGACUAGAGUAAUGGAGGGGGAACCGGAAUUCUCGGUGUA